RNAcentral lists this ribosomal RNA (540 nucleotides) under Salmonella enterica. RNAcentral's name for it is "bacterial SSU rRNA". It matches the Rfam family "Bacterial small subunit ribosomal RNA", at positions 590 to 1134 of the family's 1533-position model. The record is from RNAcentral. Lineage: Bacteria; Pseudomonadati; Pseudomonadota; Gammaproteobacteria; Enterobacterales; Enterobacteriaceae.
GGAUGUGAAAUCCCCGGGCUCAACCUGGGAACUGCAUUCGAAACUGGCAGGCUUGAGUCUUGUAGAGGGGGGUAGAAUUCCAGGUGUAGCGGUGAAAUGCGUAGAGAUCUGGAGGAAUACCGGUGGCGAAGGCGGCCCCCUGGACAAAGACUGACGCUCAGGUGCGAAAGCGUGGGGAGCAAACAGGAUUAGAUACCCUGGUAGUCCACGCCGUAAACGAUGUCUACUUGGAGGUUGUGCCCUUGAGGCGUGGCUUCCGGAGCUAACGCGUUAAGUAGACCGCCUGGGGAGUACGGCCGCAAGGUUAAAACUCAAAUGAAUUGACGGGGGCCCGCACAAGCGGUGGAGCAUGUGGUUUAAUUCGAUGCAACGCGAAGAACCUUACCUGGUCUUGACAUCCACGGAAGUUUUCAGAGAUGAGAAUGUGCCUUCGGGAACCGUGAGACAGGUGCUGCAUGGCUGUCGUCAGCUCGUGUUGUGAAAUGUUGGGUUAAGUCCCGCAACGAGCGCAACCCUUAUCCUUUGUUGCCAGCGGUCCGG